CAUUAAGAAGCUACAGGAUUUAGCAACAGCCUUUUAAGCUGUAGAUAGGUGGCCUCCAAUCACCCUUAAUGA
Molecule: transfer RNA, 72 nt
Filed under: Phyllomedusa bahiana
Lineage: Eukaryota; Metazoa; Chordata; Amphibia; Anura; Hylidae
Description: tRNA-Lys
Source: RNAcentral